ACACACUGUCACAGGCUCUUAUUUUCAUUGUUUUGUUUUGUUUUUUUUAGUUAGACAUUGUGUGUUUGUCACUGAGAUCUUUGACAGACAUUAGCUGUGGUCUGAAAUGUCAACACUGUCUGUUACUGUAGCAGCACACAGCAGUUUCCUGUCCUUAUUGCAGCCAGCGUUUCAGUGGAAAAACGUCAUGAAAACAGCAGAGGAAGUUCCUGUUACUGCUGAUAAUGACAGUGUUUGGUCUCUGUGUCUGUGAUCCCUAAUUCAAAGGGUGCAGCUCCGAUAUUGGCAGAGGGCCACGGCUGUCAUUGACACAGUCAUUGGUAAUAAGAUGGCUCCUUCACUGUGUACUCUUAGUUAACGUUAGAUGUAGGGAUGUACGAUAUGAACUUUUUGCCGAUAUCCGAUAUGCCGAUAUUGUCCAAACAAUUAAUUUCCGAUUCCGAUAUCAACCCAUAUGGGUCUGGUAUUAUUUAUUUAUUUAUCUGUACAAACCACUAUACAACUAUAAGAUUAAAUAAAUGAGCUGCGAUGCUGCCAUCUAGUGACCUUCACUUUAAUAUACAGCCAUUUAUCCCCAAAACUAUUUAAAGGGCACAGGAUCAUUUGGUGGACACCAGACAUUGCUUUAUCAGGUUUAUUAUUAUUGGAGGAAAAACCCAUAACGAUUCUUACAGAUGUUACAUAAUAUGCUAAUAUUGGACCAAUAAUAUUGGUCUGCCGAUAUUAUUGGACAUCUGUAAUUAGAUGGUUUUAGCUAGAAAAAUUAAACAGAUUAAAGUUUGGCUUAAAACAUAUACGUAUAUUUUUAGUAAUAUUUUUAAACAGAUAAAAACUGAGACUGUAUUUAUUGUGAAUGUUUCCAUUAGAAUCGUGUUUGUUUUCUGUUUCUUUUUCCACCUGUGGUUAAAGUCCACCCUGACACUUUGUCCUCUCUGACUGUGCUGUGCUGCGUUUUUCGUGGCCUUUGCUCCGCUCCCAGGUGAGACGGUGGUGCAGUGAGUUCAGCAGAUAUUUCUGGCCCGCUGGCAGGUCUGACACUUAACUGCAGUCAGCUCAGUCUUUAUUGUACUUUCAGCUUUGUUGGCAUUUUUAUGGAAUACACUUUAUCAAUUCUUUUCAACACGGUUGGUGACAGUGAGGAGAGCCUGGUGCAGCCUACGCUGUGAAAACUGUGGCGUUGACUGUAUAGUGGAGAGGUGUGUGUGUGUGUGUGUGUGUGUGUGUGUGUGUAAUCUGCUUAUGAGAUGUAAAAGUGUCAGUGUGCUCAAACGAGAUAAACCCAGAAAGUCAGGAGAGUGAGAACAAGCUGUAACAUAUAAACAUUUUGGAUUAAAAUAUAAGAUUGAAUCCCUAAAUGAAUGUAAAUGAACACGAGUGUUAAAACAAUCAGACUUACAAUCAUCAGUCAGAGUUAAUUAAUGUAAAUGCCCUGAAAUGACAAGUGUGUUGUUCAGAGUUUGAAGUUGGUGUCUUCAUCGCUCUGCCUGAUGAACCUGUCACUUGUGGUUACUGUGCUGUUCUCAACCUCUACAUUUAUAUGUGCAUCUGUCAGAAAAGGCACAAAACAACAUAUAUCAGUCGCAGUGUUUAUUUCUCACGCCUCACCAUCAGCAUCAGUUCCAUUUUGCUCCAGUGUGGGUCAGUAGUGUAAAUUUUCAGAGGUGCAGUAGAAGUUUCCUGUUGUCAUGAGUGUAGACAGUGUCCACUUCUGACCAUAUAUAUAUACACAUAUAUAUAUUUUUUUGUGUGUGUUUUUUGAUAUGUCAUUUUUCAGUGUAAGUCACAGGAGCAGCCAACCUACUGAAAUAAUAAGACUUAUAUAAGAAGUCUGACUGAGGAGGUCAUUCAAGUACCAUUUUGGUGGGUUCCUUAAUUAGCAGCUGGACUGAAUUCAGGUCUUCAGUCAGAGUCCUGAGGCUGAAAUCUUUUGAGAGUUACUGCACUGAGCUCUGUCUAUUUUCAGACUAUUGCUGGCAGGUAUUUUUACAUUUAACAACCGUUUUUUUUUUUUGUUUUUUUAAUCAGUGUGAAGUUGGCUUUAGGUGGUGCUGUGUCUUACGUCGACAAGUGCGUGUGCAGUCAUGUUUUUGGCAUGAGACAAACUCAACAGAAACUGAAGUUGUCUCUAUUGAAGAAAACACAUUUUAACUAAAUCAAAUCAAUUUUUUUUUAUAUAUAAUCAGUUUUAUUAACCCACAGUUUGACAUUGUAGCUGAGCCUAAGUUGUAAGAGGAUAAUCUCAUAUCUGUGUCUGUAUCUGAUCCUUGUGCCAUGCUAACAAAGACUGCUCUUUGUUGUGACGAGGUUGUGACGUGUGUCAAAUUAGGACAAAGCAGCUUUUUGUUGUGUCUAAAACCCCCGCAGGAUAAAAAACACAUACGGCAUCCCUUAUACCCAAGGCAGCGUGUAAUUGAAACUGCACUGUGGGAUUCGAGAGCACAGUUUGGUAGCCAGCCAAGCCAUUAACAAAACUAUAUAUAUAUAUAAAACAAUAACAAUAUAUAUAUAUAAAAUGGCGUUCACGUCUACAGUUCAUCCUGUGCAUCCACUUUUCUCCUCCUCGAUGGCACUUGUGUUUCAGCAUUCAUAUUCCCAUGCUCCUCUGCUCCUCGAGGACUUGGUCUCCUUCCUCUUUUUGAACCUGUGUUUCACCUGGUUCUGCUCAGAGAAUUUUUACUUAAAUAUUUGUCUUUGUGGAGGAAAAAAAAAGGCAUCAAUGAAGCAGAGGCUGAUUUGUUGCCUCUUGUGACGCAGCGUCUUGUCUCCUCAGACGAACCCUGGGACGUUGGAGCAGAUGGUGUGAUCAUCAACCAAAAACAGAGAAGUCUCCUCUGGUGUUUGUAUUUUCUCUGCAGACUUUGAAAACAAGGGCCCCUCUGUGACGUGUGAUUCAUUCUCCCUGGUGGUUAGUUUCCUGAGACCUCAUUCUUGAUCGUGAUUUAAACCUCUUCUUGUUGUCGUCUCCUCCUCCUCCUCCUGUUGUACCCCAUUCCUCUGGCCAUUUGUUGAUCUCCCCUUGUAUCGAUAAAGGCCCAUGAACUCAUCUUGACAGCUUUGGCAAAGGGCAGUGAGACGCUAAAGUCCACAGUGAGGGGAGUCGGCUCACACUGUGAUUUAUGUUCCGCCUCACACAGUAGAGAGCUGCUGCUGCUGGACUGAUUAUCUGAGGAUUUAUGGUCAGACAGUGGCCUUGGUGAUGUUGUACCUCCUAUUUGUCUUCUGGUCACUAUCACCCAUAGCAUUCAUGAACAUUACUGCCUCCAGACCCUGCUCCCCUCCUUUUAGGAAGAUGGAAAGUUUGGCUCCAGUUCAAAUAGUGAUAGAGGGUGAGAGAGUUUUCUUUUUUUCUCGAUGUAUCCGCAUGAUCUAACCUCCAGUUUGGCUUUGCCCUCGUUGAUCUCUAACGGAUCAGUCAUCACCGAACCAUCCUGACACCAGGCAGGAGGCUCAGAGAGAUUUGCGGGAGCAGCUGCAUGAACUCGUUUUUCCAUUAACAUGAGAGAAUGAACUGCUCACCUGGCUCUGGGUCCAUGGUAUUUGGUAGAAAGGCACUAAACAAGAGCUUUAAAGGAUCAGAUAAGACCCAAGGUUUGAAGGAUAAGUCAAAGGUUUUUACGAAAAAAUAUUGUCUUGUUCAAAGUAAUGGAUUAAGGGAAAAAAGGAAUUGGUCCAACAUUGUUAGAACUGGUCAAUAGUUUGUAAAAGCAGCCCCACUGUUUUAAAGUGUAUAGUUGAGGCAGAUUUCAAGACCCUAUGCAUAAUUAUUACGUAUAAUUAACUUCUUAUGUGCUCAAAAUAUCAUGUCAAAUGCUACACAACAUUAAGUGUCUUCAUAUGAAAAACUACUGUGCCAGUUUACCUCGUCCAUUUUUUAAAACUACACUACAAAUAUAUUAUCACUGACAAAAUUCCUACAGACACUUCUGGUAAAUUCCAUACCAUAAUAAAAGGCUGUACAUGUAGUUCUGUCAGUACUGUCCACAGCCUAAUGUCACAGCUGAGGUUUCUCAGCUCUAAUGUAAGCAGUAAAAAUCUUCUUGCUCCUAGAGACUUAACUAAAAAAAAAACUGAGUGUUGUGACUGCAUUUACAUUUUGAAAAAAAUGAAACCCACGAAACAAAAA
This is a long non-coding RNA of Cynoglossus semilaevis (tongue sole), 4123 nucleotides long. RefSeq lists it as uncharacterized. The transcript is spliced from 2 exons. NCBI's taxonomy places the organism in Eukaryota, Metazoa, Chordata, Actinopteri, Pleuronectiformes, Cynoglossidae. The record is from RefSeq and is a predicted model, not a curated record.